This 433-nucleotide ribosomal RNA is filed under the name uncultured bacterium. RNAcentral's name for it is "partial 16S ribosomal RNA". It matches the Rfam family "Bacterial small subunit ribosomal RNA", at positions 29 to 507 of the family's 1533-position model. The record is from RNAcentral.
AACGAACGCUGGCGGCAUGCCUAACACAUGCAAGUCGAACGAGACCUUCGGGUCUAGUGGCGCUCGGGUGCGUACCGCGUGGGAACCUGCCCUUAGGUUCGGAAUCACUCCCCGAAAGGGGUGCUAAUACCGGUUAAUGUCUUAGGACCAAAGAUUUAUCGCCUUUGGAUGGGCCCGGGUUGGUUUAGCGAGUUGGUAGGGUAAAAGCCUACCAAGGCGACGUUCCUUGGCUGGUCGGAGAGGAGGACCAGCCACACUGGAACUGAGACACGGCCUAGACCCCGACGCGAGGGAGCAGUGGGGAGUAUUGGACGAUGGGCGAUAGCGUGAUCCCGCAAUGCCGGGUGAGUGAUGAAGGCGUUAGGGUUGUAAAGCUCUUUUACCCGGGAUGAUAAUGACAGUACCGGGAGAAUAAGCACCGGCUAACUCCGUG